This 431-nucleotide long non-coding RNA is filed under the name Crocodylus porosus (Australian saltwater crocodile). RNAcentral describes it as "lncRNA (ENSCPRG00005007677.1)". The record is from RNAcentral. Lineage: Eukaryota; Metazoa; Chordata; Crocodylia; Crocodylidae.
CCGCUCUCAGUGCCAUCUCUGAUUUCGCACUGACCUCCAGUGGGCACAGGACAUGGUGACAUGUUUCUGGCCUCCAGUGCUACAGCUGCAACGUCAUCGUGGGCACGAAGCACGUGGAUGCAGGAUGCUCCAGCCCGGAGGUGGUCACCUGCUCCCACUCGCACCAGGGCUUCAAGCACCGAUUCUGCAUUAAAACGGAGAGCGGGACGUGUCGGCCUCCAGUUGCAUGGCCUUGGACACGCUGCAGUGUGCACGGAAAUACGGACUCGCUCCAGAAACAGCCUGCGAGUCUCCUGGGAUGGCCUGUGACAAAACCCAGUGGCAGGUGGUGCUGGGGAUCCUGCUGACCAGCGGCUGCGCCACGUCCCGCCACUGCCAGCAGCAGGAGCUGCCGGGCGUUCGAAUCCACUGCUGCGACACGGAUCUGUGCA